RNAcentral lists this ribosomal RNA (481 nucleotides) under uncultured bacterium. Its description in RNAcentral is "partial 16S ribosomal RNA". It matches the Rfam family "Bacterial small subunit ribosomal RNA", at positions 28 to 507 of the family's 1533-position model. The record is from RNAcentral.
GAUGAACGCUGGCGGCGUGCUUAACACAUGCAAGUCGAACGAAGCACUUUAUUUGAUUUCCUUCGGGACUGAUUAUUUUGUGACUGAGUGGCGGACGGGUGAGUAACGCGUGGGUAACCUGCCUUGUACAGGGGGAUAACAGUUGGAAACGGCUGCUAAUACCGCAUAAGCGCACAGCAUCGCAUGAUGCAGUGUGAAAAACUCCGGUGGUAUAAGAUGGACCCGCGUUGGAUUAGCUAGUUGGUGAGGUAACGGCCCACCAAGGCGACGAUCCAUAGCCGACCUGAUAGGGUGACCGGCCACAUUGGGACUGAGACACGGCCCAAACUCCUACGGGAGGCAGCAGUGGGGAAUAUUGCAUAAUGGGCGAAAGCCUGAUGCAGCGACGCCGCGUGAGCGAAGAAGUAUUUCGGUAUGUAAAGCUCUAUCAGCAGGGAAGAUAAUGACGUUACCUGACUAAGAAGCACCGGCUAAAUACGUG